UCGAUGUGAAUGGUCAAACAAAGG
RNAcentral lists this non-coding RNA (24 nucleotides) under Arabidopsis thaliana (thale cress). Lineage: Eukaryota; Viridiplantae; Streptophyta; Magnoliopsida; Brassicales; Brassicaceae. The record is from RNAcentral.